ACGGGCGUGAGCGUCGGUACGGGCGUGAGCGUCGGUACAGGCUUGCGUGUCUAUUAAUUGUUAUGUCCUUCAAGCAUGAAUUAAGUAACACCUUCUGGUUAUAAUGCCAGCCUGGAAUAUGAAUAUAAGGUUAGCUUCUACAAUUGAUUUGGCAGGAAUCAAAUCCGAGUUCCUCUACUGCGGAUUCGGCAGGGACCAGAAAAGGGAGUAACAGAAGAAAAAACUCACCUUUCUUCAAGAAAUAUUCCAACUGCUCUGCAUCUGUGAACAUGCUCUGCCUUCACUCCUGUCACUGAAGAUCCUUCACUGCACAGCUCUUUACCUCUACUCAACUGUCUGAAAAUUAACUGCCAUGUGAAGUCUGGGUGCUGUUCGUUCAGUCUCUACAGUAGUCACAUGAUGAAUGACUGCAAUCUGAGAAUAAUAACCUACAAAUAUUGGUUCAUGUUUCCAAGGAAAGGGUGUGGAAAAAAAAAGUUUUUCUUAAAUUCUGUCUCAACAGUCAGUAGAAACAGAGGGAAGACUAUCCUGCAGGUUUUUUGGUUGGUGAAACACACUUUGAGAAAUGCCUAGUUUAGAGGAAAGAGCACUACUGUCUUUAAAAUCCUUGUCAAUAAAUUGAUUACACAGGAAAGCCCUUCCUUUCUGCAAAUGCAAAUAAAACAUUUCUUGAAAUCUAACUGUAUCCCCCAGGCUACUGCUUUAUUAAAACUAUG
RNAcentral lists this long non-coding RNA (716 nucleotides) under Homo sapiens (human). Its description in RNAcentral is "non-protein coding lnc-TRAM1L1-3:2". The record is from RNAcentral. Lineage: Eukaryota; Metazoa; Chordata; Mammalia; Primates; Hominidae.